RNAcentral lists this ribosomal RNA (374 nucleotides) under uncultured Anaerolineaceae bacterium. RNAcentral's name for it is "bacterial SSU rRNA". It matches the Rfam family "Bacterial small subunit ribosomal RNA", at positions 994 to 1378 of the family's 1533-position model. Lineage: Bacteria; Bacillati; Chloroflexota; Anaerolineae; Anaerolineales; Anaerolineaceae. The record is from RNAcentral.
UAGGGAAGCGAAAGCGGACCGACCCUUCGGGGAGCUGUUACAGGUGUUGCAUGGCUGUCGUCAGCUCGUGUCGUGAGAUGUUCGGUUAAGUCCGCUAACGAGCGCAACCCGCGUUGUGUGUUACAAGUGUCACACAAUACCGCCGGUAUUAAGUCGGAGGAAGGUGCGGAUGACGUCAAGUCAGCAUGACCUUUAUAUCCAGGGCUACACACACGCUACAAUGGUCGGCACAAUAGGUUGCCAAGUCGUGAGACGGAGCCAAUCCUCCAAAGCCGGCCUCAGUUCAGAUUGCAGGCUGCAACUCGCCUGCAUGAAGUUGGAGUUGCUAGUAAACGCAGGUCAGCUAUACUGCGUUGAAUACGUUCCCGGGGAUU